GAGGUGCCGCAUGGCACGUUAGCGUUGGGUGUUUUUUUUUUUCCUUUUUCUCUCUCUCAGAAAUCGUGAAUGCGAAAAAGAGGAAUCGGAGGCGAUUUGCGAUUCUUACUCGAAUCGGAGGAAUCUCCGACGCGAAUGACCUUCGGCCGUCGUUCUUCUGUUAGGCCAACUUCUCCACCGUCUCCGGUUGUCCACGGCGUCUUCGGUUCACCAAAGCAGCGACGUUGGGUUGCGAAAUCGGGGAGAUUCUCCGAGGUCUCAGUCACCGGCGAGAGCUGCGAGUCAGCCUUCGCCGUCGAAGCGGAAAACGGAGCAUUCUCCGUAUAGGAGGAAUCCAUUGGGUGAGAUUGAUCCAAACUCUGUAGUGUUUCCUCUCUCUCAAGGUGAUAAAUUGGGUUCUGGUAACAACAAUUGCAACAAAAGGAUGAUGAACAAAGACAAUGAAAUUGCUCAGAAGGUGAAUCCUGUGAUGAAUACGAAACCUGCUACUCAAGCGCCAAUCCGAAGAACCGCAAGUCCGAGUCGUGCCAUCAAAGAGCAACAAGAGGCAGUGGAAGGGUGUAAGAUAGGGUUAUCAUCGGUAACUGAAUUGGUUGAGCCUCAAAUUGUGAGCAUGAGCAGAUCUUUGAGGAAAUCUCGUGAUUUCGAUUUCAGUCCCGAAGCAUUGCUCUCAAACAAUAUCGACAUCAACAAUGUUAACAGUAACAAUGCGACUGCAUGAUCAACAUUUCCAUCUUAUACAGCUUUGCUUUUAGAAGACAUUCAGAAUUUCCAUCAGAAGAGUGUUAAUGUUAGUGCCUUAAGUUCAUCUAUGUCCAAAGCUUGUUCUAUUGUUGAAGCAGUUGCAGAUCUUAACUCCACUACAAAUCAACAUCAAAGAACCGAGGUCAGUUUCACAUCCGCAGCAGCGAAGAAAGUUGAUCUAAUGGAGCCAAGCUUUGAGAAGUAUGUUACUGUUAAGAGAGGAGCUGCUAUUCCGGAGGACUCUCAUGACUGCAUUGUAGCUGACCCUUAGGAAGUCAAGUGCUCACGGUGGUGUGACCAAAUUGUCUCCAUGAAAGUGCUAAGCUCAUUGAGAAGCGUGUGCAGAUCAUAACAUCAAUUUGCUAAAGUUCCAAGUGUCAAGAGUCUUGGUGAAUGGGCUGAUCCAGGUGAUGUGUCUGGCCAUCACACUUGUGGGUUUAAGAAGAGAGCUAGAGAAGUUCAAUGAAGCAGUUUCCGAAGAGAUUUGUGUCAAAGGGAUGUUGUGCUUUGAUCCAACUCAUGCAAUGUUUGAGUCCAUUCAUUUGCUUAUGUUAAACGUAUGAAAUAUUAUUAAGUAAUGUCUUCGACUUUCUAGAAUGUGUUCAAUGUGUUUUUGUUGUAGAAAACACGAAAUUUGUGUCUUGUAUAGGCCAAGUAGAAGACACCAAAUUUCUGUCUUGAUUAUGUUUUUGAAUUACAUACAUUCUUCAUAGUAAUUGGAUUUGGUGAAUUACAUAAACUGUGAUUAUGAAUCUUUGUUUUGCAUUUGAGAAGUUGUUGA
This is a long non-coding RNA of Arabidopsis lyrata subsp. lyrata, 1525 nucleotides long. RefSeq lists it as uncharacterized. The record is from RefSeq and is a predicted model, not a curated record. NCBI's taxonomy places the organism in Eukaryota, Viridiplantae, Streptophyta, Magnoliopsida, Brassicales, Brassicaceae. The transcript is spliced from 3 exons.